GACGAACGCUGGCGGCGUGCCUAAUACAUGCGAGUUGAGCGCUGAAGGUUGGUACUUGUACCAACUGGAUGAGCAGCGAACGGGUGAGUAACGCGUGGGGAAUCUGCCUUUGAGCGGGGGACAACAUUUGGAAACGAAUGCUAAUACCGCAUAAAAACUUUAAACACAAGUUUUAAGUUUGAAAGAUGCAAUUGCAUCACUCAAAGAUGAUCCCGCGUUGUAUUAGCUAGUUGGUGAGGUAAAGGCUCACCAAGGCGAUGAUACAUAGCCGACCUGAGAGGGUGAUCGGCCACAUUGGGACUGAGACACGGCCCAAACUCCUACGGGAGGCAGCAGUAGGGAAUCUUCGGCAAUGGACGAAAGUCUGGCCGAGCAACGCCGCGUGAGUGAAGAAGGUUUUCGGAUCGUAAAACUCUGUUGGUAGAGAAGAACGUUGGUGAGAGUGGAAAGCUCAUCAAGUGACGGUAACUACCCAGAAAGGGACGGCUAACUACGUG
Molecule: ribosomal RNA, 497 nt
Filed under: uncultured bacterium
Lineage: Bacteria
Description: partial 16S ribosomal RNA
Rfam family: Bacterial small subunit ribosomal RNA
Source: RNAcentral